UAGGGAAUCUUCCGCAAUGGACGAAAGUCUGACGGAGCAACGCCGCGUGAGUGAAGAAGGAUUUCGGUUCGUAAAACUCUGUUGUUAGGGAAGAAAAAAUGUAUAGUAACUAUAUACAAAAGAGACGGUACCUAACCAGAAAGCCACGGCUAACUACGUGCCAGCAGCCGCGGUAAUACGUAGGUGGCAAGCGUUGUCCGGAAUUAUUGGGCGUAAAGCGCGCGCAGGUGGUUUAGAAAGUGUGAUGUGAAAGCCCACGGCUCAACCGUGGAGGGUCAUUGGAAACUAAUAAACUUGAGUGCAGGAGAGAAAAGUGGAAUUCCUAGUGUAGCGGUGAAAUGCGUAGAGAUUAGGAGGAACACCGGUGGCGAAAGCGGCUUUUUAGCCUGCAACUGACACUGAGGCGCGAAAGCGUGGGGAGCAAACAGG
RNAcentral lists this ribosomal RNA (429 nucleotides) under Verrucomicrobiota bacterium. RNAcentral describes it as "Verrucomicrobia bacterium partial 16S ribosomal RNA". It matches the Rfam family "Bacterial small subunit ribosomal RNA", at positions 355 to 776 of the family's 1533-position model. The record is from RNAcentral. Lineage: Bacteria; Pseudomonadati; Verrucomicrobiota.